ACGGCUCAGUAACACGUGGACAAUCUACCCUAUGGAGGGGGAUAACCCCGGGAAACUGGGGAUAAUACCCCAUAGACUAUAGAUGCUGGAAUGCUUUGUAGUUAAAAGGUCAGCCGCCAUAGGAUGGGUCUGCGGCCGAUUAGGUUGUUGUUGGGGUAACGGCCCAACAAGCCUGUAAUCGGUACGGGUUGUGGGAGCAAGAGCCCGGAGAUGGAUUCUGAGACACGAAUCCAGGCCCUACGGGGCGCAGCAGGCGCGAAAACUUUACAAUGCGGGAAACCGUGAUAAGGGAACUCCGAGUGCCCGUAAAAUCGGGCUGUCCAUCUGUGUAAAUAACAGGUGAAGAAAGGGCCGGGCAAGACCGGUGCCAGCCGCCGCGGUAAUACCGGCGGCUCGAGUGGUGGCCACUAUUACUGGGCUUAAAGCGUUCGUAGCUGGUCUGUUAAGUCUCUGGGGAAAUCUACUGGCUUAACCAAUAGGCGUCUCAGGGAUACUGGCAGACUAGGGACCGGGAGAGGUGAGAGGUACUCCAGGGGUAGGAGUGAAAUCCUGUAAUCCUUGGGGGUCCACCUGUGGCGAAGGCGUCUCACCAGAACGGCUCCGACAGUGAGGGACGAAAGCUGGGGGAGCAAACCGGAUUAGAUACCCGGGUAGUCCCAGCCGUAAACGAUGCGCGUUAGGUGUAUCGGUGAUCACGAGUCACCGAGGUGCCGAAGAGAAAUCGUGAAACGUGCCGCCUGGGAAGUACGGUCGCAAGGCUGAAACUUAAAGGAAUUGGCGGGGGAGCAC
This 789-nucleotide ribosomal RNA is filed under the name uncultured archaeon. RNAcentral's name for it is "bacterial SSU rRNA". It matches the Rfam family "Archaeal small subunit ribosomal RNA", at positions 85 to 879 of the family's 1478-position model. The record is from RNAcentral.